This 1025-nucleotide ribosomal RNA is filed under the name Spirotextularia sp. 13195. RNAcentral's name for it is "bacterial SSU rRNA". It matches the Rfam family "Eukaryotic small subunit ribosomal RNA", at positions 1160 to 1801 of the family's 1831-position model. Lineage: Eukaryota; Foraminifera; Lituolida; Spiroplectamminidae. The record is from RNAcentral.
AAGGGCACCACAAGAACGCGUGGAGCAUGUGGCUUAAUUUGACUCAACGCGGGAAAUCUUACCGGGUCCGGACACACUGAGGAUUGACAGGCACUAUUAAAUUUUUAUGAAUCAUAUUCAUAAUAUUUAUGUUAAAUAUGCUAGUCCUUUCAUGAUUAUGUGAUAGGUGGUGCAUGGCCGUUCUUAGUUCGUGGAGUGAUCUGUCUGCUUAAUUGCGUUUCACUAAGGGCUUAAAAAUUACGUGUGUUGUAUUGUUUUUUGACCCCUAUCGUUGAAAUAUUACGUGUAGUGCGUGUCUUAAAUUGCGAUACUCACACGAUUAAGUCCUGAAAGCAACGAACGUGACCGCAACCUCUUGUUGCCUUUACAUUUAAACGCGUGUUAUGUAUUUUUAUACAUUUCACGUAAAAAAAGGCUUUUAAACUAGAGGGACCGCUGUAACUUUUUUAAACCAGAGGAAGGUUGCGGCAAUAACAGGUCUGUGAUGCCCUUAGAUGUUCCGGGCUGCACACGUGCUACAAUGAUUAUUGCAGUGAGCAUCUCAUUUAUUACACACCGCAUGCGCGUGUCCAAUUAUUUACGUACUAUUUCAGUGCGUACUUUAAUUGUGUACAUUGCGCGCGGUAAAGCCUGCUUCGAAAGUAAGUGGGUAAUCAAUUAGAAGUAAUGAUUUCCCAAUUUAUAGCACACAUAUAUACGGCAUCUUUACCCCGCUUGCGCUUGUCGUAAGUUUUGUGCGUAUCGAUGUUUUUUCCGUAUGUGCAAUUGUCAAUUCAUGGUGGGGACAGACCAUUGUUAAUUGUUGGUCUCGGUCUUAACUAGGAAUGCCUUGUACGGGUCUUUGGUUCAACAAACCACCCGGAAUACGUCCCUGCCCUUUGUACACACCGCCCGUCGCUCUUACCGAUGGACUUCUCUGUGAGUUUGAGGGACUGGGUAUCUGUAAAAAUUUAUUUUUACUAAUAUCACCUAUGGAAACUUAAACGAACAGUGUGGUCUAAAGGAAAGAGAAGUCGAACAAGGCA